RNAcentral lists this ribosomal RNA (393 nucleotides) under uncultured bacterium. RNAcentral's name for it is "partial 16S ribosomal RNA". It matches the Rfam family "Bacterial small subunit ribosomal RNA", at positions 523 to 918 of the family's 1533-position model. The record is from RNAcentral.
AUACGGAGGACGCGAGCGUUAUCCGGAUUCAUUGGGUUUAAAGGGUGCGCAGGCGGCCGUGCAAGUCAGCGGUGAAAGCCCGGGGCUCAACCCCGGAAGUGCCGUUGAUACUGCAUGGCUGGAAUGCGGUCGAGGCGGGCGGAACGUGGCGUGUAGCGGUGAAAAGCGUAGAUAUUCCACAGAACGCCGAUAGCGGAGGCAGCUCGCCAGGCCUGCAUUGACGCUCGGGCACGAAAGCGUGGGGAUCGAACAGGAUUAGAUACCCUGGUAGUCCACGCCGUAAACGAUGGGCGCUCGUCGUCGGCGGCAGACAGUCGGCGGCCAAGCGAAAGCGAUAAGCGCCCCACCUGGGGAGUACGGUCGCAAGGCUGAAACUUAAAGGAAUUGACGGGG